Molecule: long non-coding RNA, 711 nt
Filed under: Gossypium raimondii (Peruvian cotton)
Lineage: Eukaryota; Viridiplantae; Streptophyta; Magnoliopsida; Malvales; Malvaceae
Description: long non-coding RNA (GRAI_LNC006617)
Source: RNAcentral
ACGCCUGACACACCCAAUUGGCGGUCACGGCAUGCUCCCCCUCCUUCGCUGCCACCUAAAAACAAAGAAGAAGACAAAUCAGUAAGAUUAAAAAGAAAAAAUUGAAGAGAAAAGUGGGGGGUCGGCAGCCAAGAAAAGAAAGCAGAGAAAAAAAUUCAAGCAAAAAAAACUCUCAAAUCAGCCGAUCCUACACUUACUGCCACUGCACCCACAGCCACCGGAACCGCCGCACCACAACCUAAAAUCCAAUCGCAAAGCAACCAAGCAAAAAAUAAAAAAAUUCAAAAAUCAACAGCCAAUAACCACUUAUUUUCUAAAAGACAAAACGUUUACCUUUGAAUCGUCGGCCACCGAGCGCGAAGAGGAGACGAUGACAAGCUCGACGGUGGUGCUCCAACUUUGGGGUUACCGAAAUAGAAGAGAAAGAGAAAGAAAAAGGGAAAAACAAAAAAAAGAGAAAGCUUUUCGGGAAAAAGAGAAGAGAGAAAGGAGAAGGGAAAGGGGAAAGAAGAGAGAAGGGGGAGUCCGGCCACCGUCGGCAAUGGAGGAAGCAGCAGCGAUGGCGCAACGCGGUGGCUAGGGUUUCCGAAAGAAGAAAAAAGUAGAAGGAAGAAGAAAAAGAAGAAGAAAGAAAAGAAAAAAAAGAGAAAAAAAAUUUAAAUCAGUCGGGUCUACUUGACCCAACCUGUGUCUGACCCGAAUCCGACCCGC